GUGCUUGUUUCUGCAGCACGUAUGCUGAAAUGGGAACAAUACAGAGAAGAUUAUCAUGAAUGACACACAAAUGAGCGAAGCGUUCCGUAUUUUU
Camelus dromedarius (Arabian camel) is the source of this 94-nucleotide small nuclear RNA. The record is from Ensembl. NCBI's taxonomy places the organism in Eukaryota, Metazoa, Chordata, Mammalia, Artiodactyla, Camelidae.